This 261-nucleotide ribosomal RNA is filed under the name uncultured bacterium. RNAcentral's name for it is "partial 16S ribosomal RNA". It matches the Rfam family "Bacterial small subunit ribosomal RNA", at positions 74 to 334 of the family's 1533-position model. The record is from RNAcentral.
ACGGCUCCGGCCGUGAAUAGAGUGGCGAACGGGUGAGUAACACGUGACCAACCUGCCCCCUACCCCCGGGAUAACGCAAGGAAACCUGCGCUAAUACCGGAUACUCCUUCCCCUGCUCCUGCAGGGGUCGGGAAAGCCCAGACGGUAGGGGAUGGGGUCGCGGCCCAUUAGGUAGACGGCGGGGCAACGGCCCACCGUGCCUGCGAUGGGUAGCCGGGUUGAGAGACCGACCGGCCACAUUGGGACUGAGAUACGGCCCAG